Molecule: long non-coding RNA, 133 nt
Organism: Bufo bufo (common toad)
Lineage: Eukaryota; Metazoa; Chordata; Amphibia; Anura; Bufonidae
Exons: 2
Source: RefSeq, a predicted model, not a curated record
GUGUCCCUUUAGAUACCUGCUGCCCCCCAGUGCUAACCACUGAGCUACCACUACCCUUUGAGGCACCGUGCUAACCACUGAGCUACCACUACCCUUUAAGCCACCCUGCUGCCCACCAGUGCUAACCACUGAG